This 311-nucleotide ribosomal RNA is filed under the name uncultured bacterium. RNAcentral describes it as "partial 16S ribosomal RNA". It matches the Rfam family "Bacterial small subunit ribosomal RNA", at positions 28 to 334 of the family's 1533-position model. The record is from RNAcentral.
GACGAACGCUGGCGGCGUGCCUAACACAUGCAAGUCGAACGAUGAAGCUGAAGCUUUUGUUUUGGUGGAUUAGUGGCGAACGGGUGAGUAAUACGUGAGUAACCUGCCCUUGUCUUUGGGACAGCCUCGGGAAACCGUGGGUAAUACCGGAUACACCCCCGACGCCGCAUGGCGCCGGGGGGAAAGCUCCGGCGGGGGGGGAUGGGCCCGCGGCCUGUUAGCUAGUUGGCGGGGCAACGGCCCACCAAGGCGACUAUGGGUAGCUGGGUUGAGAGACCGACCAGCCAGAUUGGGACUGAGACACGGCCCAG